This 85-nucleotide transfer RNA is filed under the name Vibrio cholerae. Its description in RNAcentral is "tRNA-Leu". It matches the Rfam family "tRNA". Rfam says of the family: Transfer RNA (tRNA) molecules are approximately 80 nucleotides in length. Their secondary structure includes four short double-helical elements and three loops (D, anti-codon, and T loops). Lineage: Bacteria; Pseudomonadati; Pseudomonadota; Gammaproteobacteria; Vibrionales; Vibrionaceae. The record is from RNAcentral.
GCGGAAGUGGCGAAAUUGGUAGAUGCACCAGAUUUAGGUUCUGGCGCCGCGAGGCGUAAGAGUUCAAGUCUCUUCUUCCGCACCA